RNAcentral lists this ribosomal RNA (465 nucleotides) under uncultured bacterium. Its description in RNAcentral is "bacterial SSU rRNA". It matches the Rfam family "Bacterial small subunit ribosomal RNA", at positions 331 to 794 of the family's 1533-position model. The record is from RNAcentral.
CCAGACUCCUACGGGAGGCAGCAGUGAGGAAUAUUGGUCAAUGGGCGGGAGCCUGAACCAGCCAAGCCGCGUGAGGGAAGAAGGUACAGCGUAUCGUAAACCUCUUUUGUCGGAGAACAAAACCCGGGACGUGUCCCGGACUGCGUGUAUCCGAAGAAAAAGCAUCGGCUAACUCCGUGCCAGCAGCCGCGGUAAUACGGAGGAUGCGAGCGUUAUCCGGAUUUAUUGGGUUUAAAGGGUGCGCAGGCGGCACGGCAAGCCGGCGGUCAAAUCGCGGGGCUCAACCCCGCCCAGCCGUCGGAACUGCCGGGCUAGAGUGGGCGAGAAGUGCGCGGAAUGCGUGGUGUAGCGGUGAAAUGCAUAGAUAUCACGCAGAACUCCGAUUGCGAAGGCAGCGCACCGGCGCCCUACUGACGCUCAGGCACGAAAGCGUGGGUAUCGAACAGGAUUAGAUACCCCGGUAAG